Molecule: microRNA, 21 nt
Filed under: Schmidtea mediterranea
Lineage: Eukaryota; Metazoa; Platyhelminthes; Tricladida; Dugesiidae
Description: sme-miR-749
Gene: sme-miR-749
Source: miRBase by way of RNAcentral
GCUGGGAUGAGCCUCGGUGGU